RNAcentral lists this long non-coding RNA (218 nucleotides) under Theobroma cacao (cacao). RNAcentral describes it as "long non-coding RNA (TCAC_LNC003799)". Lineage: Eukaryota; Viridiplantae; Streptophyta; Magnoliopsida; Malvales; Malvaceae. The record is from RNAcentral.
UAAUAUUUUAAGAACACUGCAUAAAUAAUUUGUAUAGCGUAAAAGUAAAAUAAAUUCAUAUAUAUUGUAAUACAAAUAAUCAAGGUAUAAAAUUAAAUUUGCAGUGACACGUGGGCCCACGAACGACCAAAAGUAUCUAGAGAGAUAAACCUACAUAUUUUGAGGAUGCCAAUCCAAUUGUAAUCCUCGAUGAAAUGAGCUAUCUACAGAUUUUCCUU